GCAGAAACCAAAGAAGCAGAAACCUGAUUCAAUAUCAAUAUCAACUGUUGUCUCACCAACCAUUGCAGUUCCUAUCUCUACUGCUGAUCCAAAAUCAAACCUUUCAACUGCCGCCGUUCCCAUUUCUACUGCUGAUCCUAAACCGAACCUUUCAUCUCCGACAUUUCGUGGAACUGCUGAUCCUAAACCGAACCUUUCAUCUCCGACAUUUCAUGGAGAUAGUUGGUCUCCUUUGCCGUCGGACUCGAGAAACAAGCCAACUGAUAUUAAUGUGUCUUUGCCAGCAGGUUAACUUGAUUCACCUCACCGGUGCAUUAACCAGUUCGUCACUGACGAUAAGGA
RNAcentral lists this long non-coding RNA (342 nucleotides) under Manihot esculenta (cassava). RNAcentral describes it as "long non-coding RNA (MESC_LNC000443)". The record is from RNAcentral. Lineage: Eukaryota; Viridiplantae; Streptophyta; Magnoliopsida; Malpighiales; Euphorbiaceae.